UACGUAGGCAGCAAGCGUUGUUCGGAAUUACUGGGCGUAAAGGGCGCGUAGGCGGCCUGCUAAGUCGGAUGUGAAAUCCCUCGGCUCAACCGAGGAACUGCAUCCGAUACUGGCGGGCUUGAAUCCGGGAGAGGGAUGUGGAAUUCCAGGUGUAGCGGUGAAAUGCGUAGAUAUCUGGAGGAACACCGGUGGCGAAGGCGGCAUCCUGGACCGGUAUUGACGCUGAGGCGCGAAAGCUAGGGGAGCAAACGGG
This 253-nucleotide ribosomal RNA is filed under the name uncultured bacterium. RNAcentral's name for it is "partial 16S ribosomal RNA". It matches the Rfam family "Bacterial small subunit ribosomal RNA", at positions 524 to 776 of the family's 1533-position model. The record is from RNAcentral.